Molecule: ribosomal RNA, 783 nt
Filed under: uncultured Neocallimastigales
Lineage: Eukaryota; Fungi; Neocallimastigomycota; Neocallimastigomycetes; Neocallimastigales
Description: partial large subunit ribosomal RNA
Rfam family: Eukaryotic large subunit ribosomal RNA
Source: RNAcentral
UACGACUACAUAUCAGGCAUAUCAAUAAGCGGAGGAAAAGAAACUAACUAGGAUUCCCUUAGUAACGGCGAGUGAAGCGGGAAGAGCUCAAAUUUGAAAUCUUCAAGGUUCUACCUUGACGAAUUGUAGUUUAAAGAAGUGUUUUCUGUUGAAGUUUCGGUAAAAGUUCUUUGGAAUAGGACAUCAUAGAGGGUGAGAAGUCCCGUAUUUGACCGAUUACUUUCCAGCUGUUGUGAUACACUUUCAAAGAGUCGGAUUGUUUGGGAAUGCAGUCCAAAAUGGGUGGUAAAUUUCAUCUAAAGCUAAAUAUUGGCGAGAGACCGAUAGCGAACAAGUACCGUGAGGGAAAGAUGAAAAGAACUUUGAAAAGAGAGUUAAACAGUACGUGAAAUUGUCAAAAGGGAAGCGUUUGACACCAGUGUUGUUUUCUCGAAAAUCAAUUAAAAAGUAAUUGAUUUUGUAUUGUUAUGACCUUAUCAGCUUACUGUACUUUUUUCUUAGUCUUUUUAAUGCACUUUUCGUUUAACAAGUCAACAUCAAUUUCUUUUGUUGUAAAAGAGUCAUUGGAAGGUGGCUUUCACUUUCGGAUGAAAGUGUUUAUAGCCUUUGGCUUCUGCAAUCGGAGAGAUUGAGGUCUGCAGCGUAGAUCCUUCGGGGUUAGAUACAUUAGAUGCUAAGUUAUAGCUUUUCAUAGACAACUUGUUGACUAUGAUUAGUCAUGCUAGUUUACUCGUCUGACGCUAUUUUACCUACGCUUAGGAUGUUGACGCGCGUGUGUGCGUG